Molecule: non-coding RNA, 1375 nt
Organism: Lepisosteus oculatus (spotted gar)
Lineage: Eukaryota; Metazoa; Chordata; Actinopteri; Semionotiformes; Lepisosteidae
Source: RefSeq, a predicted model, not a curated record
ACAUGAUAAACAUAUUUAUUACAAUAAUUAUCAAUUAGAAUAGCAUUUGAUUGUCACACAGAAUGUAAUCUUUAUAUAGACCUACAGCUUUAGACACUGCUCAGACAUUUGGUAUCUUUAAGGAAAUAUUUUCCUGCAUUUGAAAUGGCAGGCUUUGAAAAAGAUUUUUUUCUCUAUAGUUAUGAAAACCUGAUAACUGGUCAACUGGAGAAAAAGGAAGAACAGAAAAUUGCAUAAAUCCUUGUAACUAGAUAAGAUUAGUUACUCAAAAUGUGUAAAAUGUUUUAAGUGGUCUGUAGUUUGGAAGAAAACUAAUAACUCAGUAAUAGCAGGGAUUUGAGUAAUAAUAUUUCAGCCAAAUGUUCGAACUAUUAUUUUUUUCAGAUCCAGUUGACAGUCUUAAACAUGAUUUGAAAUCCAGGAUAAGAAGAGCGUUUUUUUCUAAGAAGGCAAUCACAGGUGCAAAUGAGGAGGACAGCAAAUACAACUGUGUGGCUGGGAAGUGUUUUUUAGAAAUGAUUAAAUGCACAUAUCCAAAGGCCAGCAGCAAAUAUCAAAUCUCAGGUGGAGAGCAAAGGCAGCUGAUCCAGGUCCACUGUGUAAUUGAAUUUGGUGUCUGCGCAACCAACUGUUUCAAUGCACAAGGACAUUUUAGUAGUGCUUGACCCCUGUAAUGUACAUGUACAGUAUAUAGAAUUUUUUAAUUAUAAUGUAAAUGAACACCUGCAGAAACUGAGGAAUUGGCCCUUUUUUACACUAUCCACGUAAGGCCCUACAUAAUGAAGAUUUGCCCUGCCACAGGAUGUCUGGUCAAGGUUUAGUUGUGUUGCAGUUGUACAAUGUCCAAUGACCUUUGCAUAUUUAGAUACAGUUGGGCUCCAUGUAUAAAUAGUGUUGCACACUUUACGUGUUUAUUUUAUAACAACACACAUUAAGUCUUUUCUAAAUUCUAAUUGUGAAAUUGCACCUUGGGCUUGGUAUGUUUUAUUAUUAUUAGCCAUAAUUAUUUUUCAUCUCAUAAUACUCAAUGUUGUUCACUACAUGUUGUUCAGAUGGAAAAUAAAUGUGCUACCUUAUGCACGUAGUGUAUAUCUAUUUUUAUUAUAGCACAAUUACUGUAGUAAUGUAUAGGACUGAAAUGUGAGUUAACACUCUAGAAUUAGUCAUCAGUUUAGUAAACACAAAACGUAAUUAUAAAUCAGAACUUUUCAUUUCAAGAGUUAGUUAAUGUUUGCUCUAGUGUUUAAUUAUAGAUUCUCUGACAUGUGUUUGCUUGAGAUGCAAACUAUUAUGAAUGUUGUAAUAGCUUUCUUCCUAGUUUUUUCUAAAUCUUUAGAUGCCAGUGGCCUCCCUGUGAUUGAUACUGGAUUUCUAA